UCUCUUGGACCCGGGAAAAGCGGCGGGCGACCGCGCGCGACCGGGACUCCCCAAGGUUUCGUCGGGGGGUGCCGAGACCGGGACGGAGGAAAGGGGUCAAACCCUUCCCCCGCCCCCCUCGGCCUUCGUAAUUCCCCUCGGCGGAGCUCCGGUUCGUUUACCUUGAAUAAAUUAGAGUGUUCAAAGCAGGCAAGCACACGCCCUGAAUACGUUAGCAUGGGAUAAUAGAAUAGGACUUGGGUCUUAGGUUUCUGUUGGUUUUUAGGACCGAAGUAAUGAUUGAUAGGGACGGUCGGGGGCAUUAGUAUUUAAUUGUCAGAGGUGAAAUUCUCGGAUUUAGGAAAGACUGACUUCAGCGAAAGCAUUUGCCAAGGACGUUUUCGUUAAUCAAGAACGAAAGUUAGGGGAUCGAAGACGAUCAGAUACCGUCGUAGUCUUAACCAUAAACGAUGCCGACCAGGGAUCGGAAGACGUUACCUCGAUGACUCUUCCGGCACCUUGCGGGAAACCACAAGUCUUUGGGUUCCGGGGGGAGUAUGGUCGCAAGGCUGAAACUUAAAGGAAUUGACGGAAGGGCACCACCAGGAGUGGAGCCUGCGGCUUAAUUUGACUCAACACGGGGAAACUUACCAGGUCCGGACAUAGGAACGAUUGACAGAUUGAUAGCUCUUUCUUGAUUCUAUGGGUGGUGGUGCAU
This 697-nucleotide ribosomal RNA is filed under the name Stenamoeba sp. RNAcentral describes it as "SSU rRNA". It matches the Rfam family "Eukaryotic small subunit ribosomal RNA", at positions 721 to 1285 of the family's 1831-position model. The record is from RNAcentral. Lineage: Eukaryota; Discosea; Longamoebia; Thecamoebida.